RNAcentral lists this ribosomal RNA (609 nucleotides) under uncultured bacterium. Its description in RNAcentral is "bacterial SSU rRNA". It matches the Rfam family "Bacterial small subunit ribosomal RNA", at positions 338 to 1419 of the family's 1533-position model. The record is from RNAcentral.
CCUACGGGAGGCAGCAGUGGGGAAUCUUGCGCAAUGGGCGAAAGCCUGACGCAGCCAUGCCGCGUGAAUGAUGAAGGUCUUAGGAUUGUAAAAUUCUUUCACCGGGGACGAUAAUGACGGUACCCGGAGAAGAAGCCCCGGCUAACUUCGUGCCAGCAGCCGCGGUAAUACGAAGGGGGCUAGCGUUGCUCGGAAUUACUGGGCGUAAAGGGAGCGUAGGCGGAUAGUUUAGUCAGAGGUGAAAGCCCAGGGCUCAACCUUGGAAUUGCCCUUGAUACUGGCUAUCUUGAGUACGGAAGAGGUAUGUGGAACUCCGAGUGUAGAGGUGAAAUUCGUAGAUAUUCGGAAGAACACCAGUGGCGAAGGCGACAUACUGGUCCGUUACUGACGCUGAGGCUCGAAAGCGUGGGGAGCAAACAGGAUUAGAUACCCUGGUAGUCCACGCUGUAAACGAUGAGUGCUAGUUGUCGGCAUGCAUGCAUGUCGGUGACGCAGCUAACGCAUUAAGCACUCCGCCUGGGGAGUACGGUCGCAAGAUUAAAACUCAAAAGAGUAGUACGGACGUCGAGACGUAGUCGACCGACGGACCACCGACGGGAGGGUUAGAGG